UGGAGGCCGAGAAAAUUAAGGCCAUCCCCCCUCAGGUUUCGCCUUAGCAGAAGUACAGCGUCUUAGCUCCGGCAACCAUCUCAGGACCGUGUGCCCAAGGGCUGAACUUGCCCCUACUUUACUUUUGUUCCAGGGCCCCCCACGCUGCUUUAGUUCCAAGAAAGUACCCCACGCUGCAACACCCCGGCAACAGCUAAUCAGCUUACUGCAGAAAAGUCUGAAACUUCUCCCCGCCCCAAGCCUCAUGGCUGAUGGCAAAAUUUCUCUAGUCAAUGAUGAAGGACACGCCAUGAUGGUUUGGAAAACCUGGGGGUUCUUCUGAUCAGAAACAUUGUCCUCUGAAGGAAGGUUAGUGCCCCCUGGUCUCUGAUAGGAAGCUGCUCAGCAAGCCCUUUCUUCAUUUAAGGGUCUGUAAUAAUUUAACUCAGCUCACCCAUUAUUACAAAAGGUGCGUAAUGAAGCCGUG
RNAcentral lists this long non-coding RNA (466 nucleotides) under Mustela putorius furo (domestic ferret). RNAcentral's name for it is "lncRNA (ENSMPUG00000026280.1)". The record is from RNAcentral. Lineage: Eukaryota; Metazoa; Chordata; Mammalia; Carnivora; Mustelidae.